This 45-nucleotide non-coding RNA is filed under the name Schistosoma mattheei. The record is from RNAcentral. Lineage: Eukaryota; Metazoa; Platyhelminthes; Trematoda; Strigeidida; Schistosomatidae.
AUCCAGCUGAUGAGUCCCAAAUAAGAUGAAACGCGCGUCCUGGAU